AAUAAGAUUAUUUUUCAGUUUUUUUAUAUAAUGUUUUGACUCUUCAUCUUAUUUGAAAUUUUUUACGAUUAAUAUUUUUAUUCUUACUAGAUGAUAAAACAUAAAUAGCACUUAUGCGUGACUAAUUUUUUUAAGUUUUUAUACAAAUUUUUCAAAUAAGACGAAUGGUCAAACAUUAGACACGAAAAAAC
Molecule: microRNA precursor, 191 nt
Filed under: Oryza brachyantha (malo sina)
Lineage: Eukaryota; Viridiplantae; Streptophyta; Magnoliopsida; Poales; Poaceae
Description: MIR812 microRNA precursor family
Rfam family: MIR812 microRNA precursor family
Source: Rfam by way of RNAcentral